Molecule: long non-coding RNA, 3821 nt
Organism: Camelus dromedarius (Arabian camel)
Lineage: Eukaryota; Metazoa; Chordata; Mammalia; Artiodactyla; Camelidae
Source: Ensembl
GGGACCGCGGGCGAGCGCGACUAGCCCGCCCCGGGCGCGGCCUCCGCCCUCCGCGCCUCCGACCCCGGGACUGCUGCAGCCCCAGGCCGGCCGAGGAGCCGGGGGGACGCCCCGCCCGCCCCGGCCCGGCCCCGCCGCACCUUCGCUCCUGCCCAGGAUCCGACAGCACCAGGUUUCUGCAGCAGGACGUUCGGCGACUUCUGGUCCGGCGUCGCACUCCUCGCCCGGGACGCCGCGGGCCCCUGCUCCGGGAGCCCGGCCCGAGCCCGCCCCGAGCCCGGCGCGCUCCGGAAGCCCCGCCGCCCGCGCCGGCUCGCGCCCCCGGGUCCCCGACAGGCUAAGGCCCGCGGGCAGCGCGGCAACGAGGACGCCAUUUUAGCGGAACCCGCCGAAACGCGGGCCCUCCCACAAUGCCCCGCUCCUUCCGGGCGCGCGGGCCGCGGGUGCGCCGGCUUAAAGGGUCCCCGCUCCCGGUCCUCACGUUCCCGAGCGCUGCGGCCCGGCCCGGAACGUUCCGGCCCGGGCGCCCGCCAGGGUCUGCAGGUGUCCUCGAGGGUCAGGCCGGCCGCCGACCUGCCGUGAGCGCCUUUCCAGUCCGUAAUUCUUUUUUAAAGUCACGUUCGGUGGAAGAAGUCUGUUUACACAGUAGGAGGGGUUUAUGGUGUUUGGGGGCUUUGAGCACUGACAGCGGCUGCACGCGGGGUUGGCCGUCCCCAGCCCGGGCCCAGCGCAGGCAGGCGGACCGUGAGGCCUGGAGAGGAAAACGUGAACUAGCCGGCAGUUACAAGGCGUUUUGAACGUUACUGUAGAAGCUUACACAGGAGUGGGUGCAGGGGUCACGGGCCCUGAGAACUGCCCGGUCCAGGGACAAAUGACCAGUCCGCACAUCAGCCGGGAGCUGUCCAGUUCACGUGGCGCCCCUGGUUUGGACCAAGCGUCCCAUGCCGGACCAACCCAAGUACCUCCCAGGGAAUUUGGGAUUAAGAUCAAAAGAACUUGUGUCUCCAGAUGGCCUGAACUAUAACAGAGAAAUCGGGCACCUUCUGACAGCCAAGUGAGCUGAGUAGGAGAAAAGCCCCACCCUCCUUCCCAGGGUCGGAGGGAAAGGCCGGGCAUUACAAAGUGGACCACCCGAGGCGUCCUGCUGGGACUCAGGAUGCUGGAGGUGCCUCACCCCAGGCCCGUCGAAGAAGGGCCAAGACCAUAACAGACCCCAUCUGCUUGACUCUGCAUUUCAGCACCUGUCUUCUUCUACCGUUAGAUUCUAGGAAAACCAUAGAGGUCACAAAACAAAGGCUAAAAGAGUCUCUGAGUGAGGUACCUGGAAGGUCGGGACUUGGCAUCAGGAACAGACGGCAGUUUCAGACAGCAGUGUGUCCAUAACUCUCCUGCUUCCCAGCCUCCUGCCGUGCUCACCUGGCUUCUGAGGCAACGGCCCCAGUCACAGUCCUGACAGCAGCACGGCAGAGGCAGAGAGAGGGAAAGAAAGCGGAGGACGCAGCACAGCUUAGGAGACAUUGUGCUAGUGUCCUUACAACCAUCUCCUGUCACUGGAACUUCCCUGAAUGUGCCUCUGUUCUUUCAAUCUAAAGAUGGAAAUAAAGUAACGAAAAUACAGUGUGGCUGGCAUGUAGCAGGACAUAGAGAAGGACUUGCCUAAGAAUUAGCAACUAGUACACAAAAGCCCCGUGCAGGAGGCGCUGGCCCUCGGCUUUGGCCCCAGAGCAGGCAGGCUGGAUUUGGGGCGAGAGAUGAAAGGCCGUGGCUCACCAGCUGAAGGGGGCUUGGUAGGAAAUGGACGGGUGGAACUCCAGCCACAUUUGCCCAAGCACAGCCCCAGGCUGGGGACCCACUUGGUACAAGGGGCAGACCUGCCAGGAUUUUAAUGUCGUGAGGAUUGGUUUUGUGUCACUUUGCUGGGCUGUGUGCCCAGAUGUGUGGUCAAACAUUAUUCCAGGUGUUUCUGUAAGGGUGCUUUGGAAGGAGAUUAACAUGUGAACAGCAGGCUUUGAGUAAAGCAGAUGACCCUCUAUAGUGUGGCGGGCCUCACCCAAUCAGUAGAAGGCCUGAAUAGAACAAAAGGUGACCUUCCCCGAGGAAGAGGGCUUUCUGCCAGUGGGCGGCCUUCAGACUCGAGCUGCAGCAUCGGCUCUUUCCUGGGCUCCAGCCCUAGCUUGUCCUGUAGACUUUGGACUUGCCAGCCCCACACUCAAUGUGAGCCAGUUCCUUAAAAUAACUCAAUCUCUUUCUCUCUAGAUAGAUGAUAGAUAGACAGACAGACAGACAGGCUGCUGCCUCUGUGUCUCUGGAGAGCCCUGACUUACACGUGGGGACAACCUGGGACAUUGAUGACCACCAAACUAAUGAAGAGUAGACUGCAGUACACUAAAAAAUGUUCCUCCACUAAAAAAGCGAAAGAAAAGUGAACGCAGAGCAGGAGGGACCAGAGAAAACAUAUGACGGUGGUGCGUUGGCACCAGAACAUCUCACCAGUCACGUUCAGCGUAAGUGCGGUUGGUCCCCGGAGGCGAGCACUGUCCAGCGACGUCCAGUCAAGGCUGCCGUCUGGGUGUGGACUGCGGUCCACUGCCCUCUGUGGGCCUUUGUCCAGCCGCCCCCUUCCUGGGUGUGGAGCAUCUACACCGCUUACUUAACGUUCUGCAGGGGAGGGUUGCCUCUUCUCCCCCAUCAAUUGUUUCUUCAGCAGUUUGCUAAUGUCAGCAGGCAUUGGUGGAUAUUGAUAUUCUGCUCCGGGUCAUAAUCCAACGCUACUGCACUUACUUUCCUGCUCGGAUUGACCCAGGCCUGGCCUGUGGGGGCUCUUUUAGCUGCCUCCUGUCUCUCUGACACUCCCUCAUCACCGUGAGUGCUGAAAAGAUAAGGACUAGACCUGACGGGGUUUUAGGACCCUUGUAGACUUACAGGAAAUGGAGUGGGCAGGACAGAAAGACCCGUCCACCCACCCACCCUGGCACCCCUAGCAACACCUUGCGUUGGGGGUGUGUCUGCUACAAGGAACGACCCAACACGGACACCUUAGUAUUAACUGGGGCCCGUACUUCACGCUAGUCCAGGGCUCCUGGCAGCCGGGAUGUUGCAGUAAGAUGGCGAAUCCUGCGGUCAGGCACCGCGGGAUUGCCUUUUCUGUGAAGGGGCUCCUUCGUCUGAGGGGGACUUGUGUGGGCACCACAUGGACAGCAUCCUUCAUCCCUGGUGCUCAGCUGCUCUCACAUGGGUAGGGCACUUCUGUCUCGCUUCUCCUUCAUACGGCUGGAUUUAAAACUCUUAUAUUCUAGCUUUCAGGUCCCGUGUGACACUGCAGGAAAAAUGCUUUCAAGCUGUGCUCAAUCAGGGGGUUUAGGAUGAAUGAGCUUUCAGUACCCAGCCCGGUCGUUAGAAAGAUCUUUAAUGACUGAUGGAUUAAAACCAGUGAACAAGCUUUCAAAUUACAAUUAAUUCAUAAAUUGAUAGUCACUUUCCUUCUUUGAGACCGUAAUGACUCACCGUUCUGACAUCGGGUCAACAGAAAGAAACUCCAAUUAGGCUUUGAAUACUCAUAUAGUUCAGGAAGAUGCCAUUUAGCUGUGGUAGGUGGGUGGAUAAAUUACUUCAGAAGUCAAGAAGCCUUGAGCCAUUGUCCUUUCUGUUAUCUUCUUUUGUGAGUAUGUAGUGUUUCUUCUCAUACUUUUUAAAAAUAGGAGUCGACUUUCGAAGGCUGACACUUGCCUCGAACUUACUAUAAAUGAGGCCAGGACUGAGUAUUGCUUUUGGCUCUCUCUCCAAUUUAGGGAGCAGAAGCCCCCAUCCCCUCUUUUUAAGCA